AGGACAAGGUGAGUAGCUGUUUUAAAAGGUAUUUAAAAAUUUUACAAGUGAUAUUAUAAAGUAAUGGUAAACAGUAAUUUAGCUGAGUUAUCCAGGCAAACUUACCUCUCAUAAUGCAGUAGAACAUUGUAGUGGUCCCUGCAAUUACUUUUGUAAUUAUGCCACUCGUUAUUUUGUGGUGUUACCAUCUGUUUGAUAAAGACAGAAAGGAGUCCUCUCCUACCACCCUUUUCAUGUAAACAGAGAAAGGUGCCAAAGCCUAAUUUAAAGUACAUAAGUUACUAAACUUAUGUCUUAGGAAGCAAUCUGCUCUACAGCUAACUCAGGAAAGAGGAACCAUCCCCCUGCACCUCUAUACUCACGUGCCUGCUGCUCCCUCUGCACACCUCUGCUCUGAUCCCGUCCUGCUCUGUUGGGACUCAAGCUUAGCACGUGCACUGAAUGCUUUUGAGGAGCAGGACUUCACUGUACAAAACACCAGGAGGGUAAUUUGGCCUUCUUGGUAGCAAACAUCCCAAACUGAAGAGGAGACAAGUUGUAGAUGCUAGUAGACACCAGAGGAGCUGGGAACCUGCUUUUCAUGACAACUUUUUAUCCUACUGGAUACAAAAUACAUUGCAAUAAUCAGCACACUCCAAUCUCAGCUCUGAUUCCUUAAGUAUGAUGGUUUUUACAUGUGGAUACUUAUAGUCUCCAGCAUAUUUUCUGUGGAUGUAGGGUUUGGUUUGUUUUUUUUAAUUAUUGCAGAGUAAUAUAUGAUAGCAAGAUCUGUCAUUUGUGAUAAGCUAUAUAUUUCCACAUGUCAUUUGUCCCGCUCAUGUAGGCUGUGUGAAUAUACCCACCUUUUAUUUUCUUUGAAAGGCUGUAUUUCUCCUUGGGUACUGAUGUACCAGGAUCAGAGCUAAUGUUGAAUUUUGGCAAUAGUAACAAAUGCAAUUGCUUUUGCUGAGUGUGCUCCAAGCAUAGCAGGAGUAUCAAGAGCUCACUGCAACUACCCUACCUGAAGUCUGCAGGAGCAGAACAAGUUACUUUUAUUUAUUAUGAUCAUAAACUUGAAUUUACCCUGAGUGCCCAAGAAACCAUGGUCUCAUUUGCUGUCUCUUUCUGCAAGUGCUUCUUUUUUGGUGUUUUCUUGAUCCCCAGCAUAGCACCCAAGUCCAUGUUUUUUUUCAAGAAUACCUCUGGGGUUUUUUUGAUGGAGAAUAAUAGUCAGCAGCCCUGCCAUGCCACUUCACCUUGCAAGCUUGCAGUCCAACCAGCAUUCAGCUGUCCCGAUCUCACAAGCACAGGCCCCUCUGAUCUCUUAUCGACAUCUAAACUGCAGCCGUAGCUCUCCAGGACCUGGGAAAAGAACCUGCAACUGAGAUAUCUACCACUUCUCUACCCCACCAUCAGGCAAGGAGAGAAACUUCUUGUGCUUUUGUCUGUGCUGGGAGUACUUCAACACUGAGGAAUCUGUGCCUAGAGGAGUCACAAUACAAAAUGUGCCUGUAUCUGCAGUAAAACAGUUUUAAGCUUCAGCUGGAGAACACACUCUCACAUCACUGCUGCCAGCUCUGAGCAUCCAGCAAGGCUUGUGUCUCACAGUUAUUGAGAAAAGGAUCCAAAUGUGAAGCAAGUUUUGCUUCGAUGGUUCAAAACCAGCAGACAAUACAUAGAACCAGAACUGCCCCAAUGUGGUUGGAUGCCUGUUACAAUAUGAACAUGGACCCACAGUCUUUCUUUGCACUACCUUGGUGCUAUUAAAAUCCACCAAGUUUUCCCUUUCUGAGUGGUACUGCGUGGCGAAUCCUCCACCUGGCUUCCCUCUGCUUCCCUGCUUCUUCUCAGGCAUGUGCCAAGGUCAGUGCUCUGGCUCCAGUCUAAUCAUUCAUUCCAAAUGUUUCCCACCUUCUUUUCUGAGUAGUUUUGGAGAUGAGGGACUUUUAGUCUUAUGUAUCAUAACAUUUACGACAAAACCAUUUUGGUUUUGUUCUUGCAUUUUUUUCUGGGCUCUUUAAUUUCAAAGGUUUUAAAGCCUCUAUAAAGUUUGGAAGAUUUUCAGGUUUAACAUGAGCACAGAACGUGGGAAGUUUCACCUGAGCUGGGAUUUUGCAGUUGAUCAUUAAAUCAGCAGUACCACAUGAUCAUAGCUGGGAAGAGCAGUGGUUACUAUGCCAUUUGAUGAAGUCAUUCUCUUCUGUGCAUGAAUUGACUCAUAUUUCUUCGCUAUUUAAAAUCAAAUUAAAAAGAAGUGCCACACAACACACUCAGUAGGCAUUAUUUCUGUGGGUUAUCUUGACUUUUAAGCCCACAGCACAGUUUUCUGGUGCCUGACUCACACAGAAGCUCCACGCAUUUGCACAGAACAGUGUCUCCAUCCUCCUCCCCCACUAUCCCGUCCCCCUGCCUUACCCAUCCCAGAUAAGUAGUCCAAUAGCAUCCUGGUUUUUGACUCACUCCUCUGGCAAAGGCUCUCUCUGAGGCACAUCCCAGCCUCCAGCCUGCACCACUGCUCCCCUGGGCUGCCCUGCUCAUUCUCUCACUCCCAUUUUACUUGACAGCUGUUUAUCUUCCUCUUUUAUUCAAGCUCAACUCCUCUGCUUUUAUUUCUGGCAGGGUUAUUUUUCUAUUUGACUUUGUCUGUUUGCCAAGGCCACACCCUUAUCACCUCCUUAAUCCGAUCCUCUCCUUUGAUGACUAAAGGUCUUCCUCUCCUUCCUUUUAUUAGUACUUUUAUCUCUUUCUCCAUUAUCUUUUAGUCCCCUUGAUUCUUACCCCUCUCUUUUGCAUAUCAAGUUUGUUUUACAUGUUACUUGGGGGAUUUGAGACUUUUCUCCUUGACAGCUUUUCUUCCCUAGCCCCUGGAAGGUUCUCCAUGCUGCUGGACACAUGGCAAAGAGCAAAUACAUUUAUUACUCCAGAUGGGACAACUGCAAUCCAAGAUGGAGAGUGACUCUGGGCUGGGUUGAUCUCAGCAGCUCCCUACUGUCAUCUUAGCCAUUCCCCAUAUUUUUACAAGACCAUGUUUUUCCUCUUUUGCAGUCACAUCUUUGCAGCUGGGAUACCGCUUACUUAAGGUAUUUGAGGUAAGAGAAGGUUUAAAGCAAUGCUGAGAGUUUGCUGCAGAUCUGAGUGAUCAAAAAAGGGUGCAGCAGCAUCACAGUGUAGGUUUCUAUUUUCAGUUCCACUGCUGCUGGCCUCUUUUGUCACUCACUGACAAUGCCUGAAAUAUGGCUAAAGACAAAAUAUUUAUGACAGUGGCUGGAAAUUGUGCAGCUGGGCAGGAUGUCACAUCAAUCACAGCAUCACCUGGGUGCUUUACAUCGCCAGCAUAGCAGUGUUCAUGAUUUUCUAGCUUUUCAAAAACAUUGUAUUUCUCUCAGAUUUUGCCAGGAUAAAGGCAGAAGUGAGAAGAUAAGGAAUUUUCUUUUAUUAAUCUCUCUUGGUUGAGCUCUCCUUUCUCUGUGUUUUGUAUUUUUAUCAACUAAGGCAGCAAGAGUCCUGGCAUGUACAAAGCAGUCCAGGAUUAACAGGGAACCUGCUGCCACUAAAAAUCGUAACAAACCGAGGACUGAUCCUACCUGCCCGCCAAGCUUGAUUUUGCAUCUCUUCAGCCAAAUGAAGAGAUGCAGAUCUUUCCUCUGGCUGCAUGGAGCAGACUCCUGCUGAUACAGGAGAUAUCCUGCUCCUCCUAUAGGACUCCUGGUCCUAUAGGGACCAGGAUAAUUCCUAAGAGCCAUGCAGGUGUCCAACCAAGCAAAUCCUCCCUGAAAUAUUGCACUCUUUCAUCAUCUACCCGACCUAACCUCCCUUAUUCCAAAUAAGUCUUUGCAUUUCAGAUUUCCACAGCAGCAAGUUGACAUUAACAGUGUAUAACCAAGUCUGGGCUGUCCAAACAUACCCAUCAAAUGCCAAUGUAACUCGCCUGUGACCCCACUGCUGAAGAGGAGGUGCAUGGCACACUGGCAGAGAUACACAGGGUUGUUCCUAGAAGAUGCCUGUUCCAAAGCUGGAUUGGAACUCCUGCUUCCUACUCUCCAGGCCUUUAUCUAAUCUUGAAGCAGUGCAGCUUUGCCAGAUUCCGUUGUCUAACCAAAGUGCAAAAGCUGCUUUCAGGUGGGAAUUUUACUUAGGACUAUGUAAAAUGUGUAGGCACAAAGAGCUUCAAAAGACCAGGUCAUUCAUUCCAGGUCUCACUGAAUUCUUUCCCUGUCCACACUUCCCAGGGUCACUUCUCAAACUCUGGCCUAUGUUUUCAACAGCUGGAGAAACCAUUGACCAUAUCAUACAAAAGUAAAUACUUAAUUUUUUUUCCACAACAAAAGGAGAGCCACUCCUACAAAAUCCUCUUCAGCUCUGUGAGUCCAGGUUGCUGGUUUUCUCCAUGUAGGCAUGUAAAAAUCAUGAAUUGUGAAAAAAAGGGUGAUGAAAUGCUCUUUGGAGCACUUGCAGAAUAGCCAUAAUUUAGAUAAUGGCUUUUUUUUUUUACUCUGAGUGGAGUUUGGGCCAUUUGGGAGUUGAUCAUUGAACAUUGAUAUGAAUAGGAAGGGGAGCAUAACAUAAAGAGGACAGCAACAACCUUGAGGUUGGGAGACUUGUGUGGUUGCUGGUGUCAUAUGCUGAAGCAGAAAUUCAUUUGACAUUUUGGAAGGGGAAGACAGUGCUGGUCAGUCCUGGCUGCUGCACUGGGUACAUGCUGAUUCAUUUGGCUACAAGGGUAAUGCAUCUUGCAGCAGAAAGGAGGCUUGUGUCUGUGCAGUUUUCAGGGGGGAUUGUGCCAUCACACCCUAUAAACAGCAAACAGUGUCAGAUUGUGAAAGGGCUUGUGCCAAUACAUCUCACCUGUGACGUUUUUGGCAGGCCAUCUAACCAACACCCAGGGAAGGCUCACAAACUGGUGACACACCAUCUCCUCCUUUUGCAGUCUUUCCUGGUGAAGGUCAUUUAGGAUCCCAGAAGAAACUGUACCUGAAAACCAGAGUCCUCAGUCACAGACAGAGUGGAGGUGCAGUGCAUGUAAAGCUGUGAAAGUACGUCAGGAAACCCAGGCCAUUCACAUGAGGAGUGAUCACCACAUUUCACUCUGUGGACUUGCUUCUGCUGAGGAUUUUGAAAAAUCUUCCAGGCAUAUGUCUGCUUUACUAUAAAAUGGGAAGGCUGAGGAACUUGCCCACAAUUAUGUGAAAGUCAGUGAGUGGCAGAGCAAAAAGGUGAGCCUGGCUGUGCUUUUCCCCUUCCCUGCAGUUGCUGGCCUGCCAUCUGAUGACAUUACCAGUGGCACAUCCAAUUCCAUUUCCUGAAACCAACUAAGCUCAAACAAUAUGAGUCCAGGAAGCAACAGCUACACAAAAUAAAAAGAAGGAAGGUUUCAGAAAAAGAAUCUCAUGAGUUCCCAGUUUGCUGUAGUGGUUGCUCCUGUUGGGCUGAGCCAUGGCUUGGCAGAGCCUGUAGUGGGGACCAGGCAGGCUGAGGGACAGCACCCUCCUGCCUCGCAGAGCCUCCAGCUCCCUUCUGCAUCCCCGACAGGACUAAACAGUGCAAAGUGGCUGCAAUGUUGUAGGCAGGGUGGUUUGGUUUGUAGUGCAGAUAGGCCUUUGUAGUGUGGGUGUGGAGCAGUCUGUUCCAAGGGACGUGCAAUCUCCUGUGACACGGGUUUGGAGCAGCCGUGAGCUCACCAGUCUGCGAGGAAAUGGUCGGCUGCCAAACACGGCUGUUAGCAGAGGUGACAGGACAGCCAGGCAAUGUGAGGAAUGAUUUGGCAUCAGCCAAAGCCCUUGGGAUGGAAACAUGCACACCAUGGGAUGGGCUUGCCAUGUCUCUGAGCACUGGCUGCACCCAGCUCCCAAGCAGGGAUGUUUGAUCCAUGUGGAAAUCAGAGACACGCAGAAAUGAAAGCAAGCAGUCUUCAGGCACAGAAAGCUUGGGGAGGGAGCCAGGGAGCAGCACCAGUGUCUAUCCUUCCCUGCCUCCCUGACGGCUCUCUGGAAACCCCCUCGGGCUCCCCCACCUUGCCAGGGCUCCUGGCUGUUCACUGUGCCAUGGGCUCACAGUGUGAGCAGGAAAAGGACCUGGCUGGGGAGGUGGUUUCUUCCACCCACAGAUACACAUGCAAACACAGAGUGUAUGCUUGUUUAAAUAAAGUGACGUUGAAGAAAGGUGACUUGUGUCAACACACAGAGACUAAUUUACAUGCUGCAGUGUGUAGCAAUAUGGUGUCAGGUAAGAGCUGGCACAUUUUUCAUGUCCAGCCAUGUACACAUAAUGAUAUCACAGGGGGAGAUGAGCUGCUGUGGAAUUAAAGUGUGGUUUUUUUAAUGGCACCUAGGAAACAGGAUACUGGAAAUCCUUGAACAUUCAAUAACUUCUCAGCCAGUGCCUCUAACAGUCUGCAGAUUAUUUAAGAUUUUACUAUAUCCCUUUACAAAUAAGAGUUCAGUUCUUUAGAUAUUGAGCAGCCUCCAUUCUAAAUAGGGACAGCUGAAACUUUUUGCAAAGCUUUUCUCUACCUUUGUCUGAGGAUUUGUGACAACCAAGUGGCUUCUGCGCUUCCAGAAGUGAGACUGGCAAACUGUUGGCCAUGAGCCCAUUUGAUUAAAGAAGAGAAAAAACAGUCCUGCAGUCCUAGACAGAUGACAAGAUGAAGCUGUCUUGUACAACAGCCAUGGAAACCUCAGGCUCCUGGUGUUCUGACUCUGGCUAUGAUUUUCCACGGUGACCAAGAGAUUUAUUUAAUCCUUUCACUACUUCUUUGUAGUCUUGGAUCUUUGAGGUGUCAGAAGGAAUCAUCAAAUCAACACCUGCAACACAUUAUAAGGGAACAUCUUGUGCUGUGUCACUGCAGGGGAAAAAAAAAUACUUCCUUUCUAAACACUUUCUUUUUCCCCUCUAAUAUAUUUUACAAGUUGAGGAAUACAAGCUUUUUCAAAAAAUAAAACUAACUGAAAAUUUGGACCCCUUUGCAAUGAAUGUGAUCCCAAAGCUAACAUCUUGUUUUUUUCACAUGUGAUUA
Molecule: non-coding RNA, 6991 nt
Organism: Cyanistes caeruleus (blue tit)
Lineage: Eukaryota; Metazoa; Chordata; Aves; Passeriformes; Paridae
Source: RefSeq, a predicted model, not a curated record